UACGGAGGGUGCAAGCGUUGUCCGGAAUCACUGGGCGUAAAGGGCGCGUAGGCGGUCCGGUAAGUAGGGGGUGAAAUCCUGCGGCUUAACCGCAGGGCUGCCUUCUAAACUGUCGGGCUCGAGCACGGUAGAGGCAGAUGGAAUUCCCGGUGUAGCGGUGGAAUGCGUAGAGAUCGGGAAGAACAUCAGUGGCGAAGGCGGUCUGCUGGGCCGUUGCUGACGCUGAGGCGCGACAGCGUGGGGGAGCAAACAGG
RNAcentral lists this ribosomal RNA (254 nucleotides) under uncultured bacterium. RNAcentral's name for it is "partial 16S ribosomal RNA". It matches the Rfam family "Bacterial small subunit ribosomal RNA", at positions 524 to 776 of the family's 1533-position model. The record is from RNAcentral.